RNAcentral lists this unclassified non-coding RNA (557 nucleotides) under Lactobacillus sp. NGRI 0001. RNAcentral's name for it is "partial miscellaneous RNA". The stretch from base 1 to 208 matches the Rfam family "Bacterial small subunit ribosomal RNA", at positions 1329 to 1533 of the family's 1533-position model. The record is from RNAcentral. Lineage: Bacteria; Bacillati; Bacillota; Bacilli; Lactobacillales; Lactobacillaceae.
GAAUCGCUAGUAAUCGCGGAUCAGCACGCCGCGGUGAAUACGUUCCCGGGCCUUGUACACACCGCCCGUCACACCAUGAGAGUUUGUAACACCCGAAGCCGGUGGCGUAACCCUUUUAGGGAGCGAGCCGUCUAAGGUGGGACAAAUGAUUAGGGUGAAGUCGUAACAAGGUAGCCGUAGGAGAACCUGCGGCUGGAUCACCUCNUUUCUAAGGAAACAGACUUUAAGUCUGACGGAAACCUGCACACACGAAACUUUGUUUAGUUUUGAGGGGACGACCCUCAAGCDCCCUAGCGGGCGCGANCUUUGUUCUUUGAAAACUGGAUAUCAUUGUUGUAAAUGUUUUAAAUUGCCGAGAACACAGCGUAUUUGUAUGAGUUUCUAAUAUAGAAAUUCGCAUCGCAUAACCGCUGACGCAAGUCAGUACAGGUUAAGUUACAAAGGGCGCACGGUGGAUGCCUUGGCACUAGGAGCCGAUGAAGGACGGAACUAAUACCGAUAUGCUUCGGGGAGCUAUAAGUAAGCUUUGAUCCGGAGAUUUCCGAAUGGGGGAACCC